GGCCUUUUCAUGACGGCUCGAAAGACCUAUAUCAGUCUUGCCGUCUUCGGGCGGAUAUGGCGAUAAACCAGCGAUGAAAUAAACCUAUUGGACCCGGGGGCGGUACCCGGCGCCUCCACCAAAAACCGGUCAUCACACCAGCCGGACCGGCUUUUGAUGGGGGCGAAAUAGGAUCGACAAGGGCGUAAAGAUCGACUCUUUGCUCGGCAUUGUACCACCGUUAUCGGGCUAAACUUGUAGUUGCAAAUGACAACUAUGCGGAAGCUCGUCUCGCUGCUUAAUCGCAGUGUGACACUUCAAAUCAAGUCCUUCCGGUUCGCACCGUAAGGCGGGGUCCGAAGGCACCUGGCAACAGAAGCCUUCACC
This 366-nucleotide transfer-messenger RNA is filed under the name Rhizobium sp. 58. It matches the Rfam family "Alphaproteobacteria transfer-messenger RNA". From Rfam's summary of the family: Bacterial tmRNA, also known as 10Sa RNA or SsrA, is named for its dual tRNA and mRNA-like properties. RNAcentral also lists the same sequence under 1 other name. The record is from RNAcentral. Lineage: Bacteria; Pseudomonadati; Pseudomonadota; Alphaproteobacteria; Hyphomicrobiales; Rhizobiaceae.